This 1385-nucleotide unclassified non-coding RNA is filed under the name Athalia rosae (coleseed sawfly). Its description in RNAcentral is "misc RNA ENSAEAG00005009828.1". Lineage: Eukaryota; Metazoa; Arthropoda; Insecta; Hymenoptera; Athaliidae. The record is from RNAcentral.
UACGAGCAAGGUGAAACGUAUAAAAAAAAAUGGUACUCGUAACUCUGUCGCUCAUAGCAAAAAAUAUCAAUUACGAAAGAAUAGUGGAGUAAAUUAUUUGGAAACAGAAAGUUCAGAUAAUGCUGAGGAAAAGGAAUCAGAAUUCAACGGUGAUGUUAAACGCAAAAUUGUGUGGACGUCCAAUGAUCAAGCUAAACAUAAUAAUCGAAUUCUAAGUAUACUAAACAACGGUUCGCUUGGAGAUCUGAAGAACUUAGCACGUGUUGGACCGAAAGCUGCUGAAAUGCUUCUCCAUUUCAGAAGGGCUCAUGGACCUCUGAACUCUCUCAGAGACUUGGAAAAGAUGUCUGGGUGGACUGCAAAGGUCUUCCAGCAAUUCUUGGGAUCCAACGGCAUUGUUCUCGACUGAUUGAUCUGCUUUGUAUGUACGUUUGUUGCAUAGCGCAAUGCGUGCACAUUUUUGUACCGUAUUUUGAUCAGUGGGCACUAAUUGGAUAUUCGAGAUGGAAGUCUACGAAUAUCAACAGCAUAUUCGAAGUGAAUUCUUGAGUGUUUACUAUAUUAUUACAUUGAUAAUACUAUAUAUACUUUCUAUUUAAAUUGUUAUUUUGAUGUUUAGUUUUUGGUACGACGUACCAUGCAAUACAAUGUUAUACAUUCAUAAAGAUAUACAAAGAAUAAAGGGUGUUGAUAUCUACUUUUACUUAACUUGAGCUUCACACUUAAAACUGGAUUUGUUUGUUUAAAAAUGUUUAGCAAAUAUUUUUAUUUAUAAAUUACAUAUAAUUUCCAUUAUUGUUACAUCACUCGCUAUCAUCUGUAUCUUCAACUAAGACAACGUCAUGCCCAGGAAGCAUUCUUGGAUCAAAUGUUGUUUGAAAGCAUUUUUUGAAGAUUACCCUUGCUGUGUUAGUAGGAUGUUUCGGUGGCGAAUUCGGCACAAUAUCUUCGUUGACAGGUAAUACCGGAGGGUUAGUAUUUGAUUUGUUUGUAAUUGUUGAAAAUACUGAGUUCACUGUAGCCUUAGAAACUGAAACUGUGCUUGCGUUGCUGGAAAAUAUAUUCUGCUUUUUCGAAUAACUGGGCUUACCUAUACUACUUGUUUCAGAAUUUUUGUCGGGAUAAUUUAUGUUAUUAUCACCCAAUAUAUUAUCAGCAUUUGUUACAACCAAACCAUUAUCGUUCGAAUCAACAGCCAUUGGUUCUUCUUGGUGGAUGCUAUCGCUGUUUCUGCUCUGAUCGAGGUUGGUGACUGCCAUUGGCUUACUUGUAUUUGUAUUUGUCAUUCUCUCGAAUUUCCCUGAUAUUUUUUUUGUUCUACGAUUGACAGGCUGAGUCGUUUUCUUAGCUGCGCGCUUGUUGGCCGCUGAUUUUUUAACUAGAGU